GGCCGGAGGCCGAGGGCAGCCGCAGCCUCCCGGGGCCCGCCGCGAGAGGGCCCAGGGACGCUCUUCUUGUGAAAGCCGCACGCAAGCCGCCGUGGGGGGCAGAGGACCCGCUGCCGGGGCGUCGCCGCCGGGCAGGAGAACAGACAGGCCCCUUCCUCGGCCCGCAGGCGCCAGGGAGCUGGGCAGCGUCCUCCGGCGGUGGGCGCCGUCCGCCCUCGGUGCUGAGCGCGGCUCCGCGCGCACAGGGUGCGUGCCCACACCCUCCGUGUACCCAGCGUCCUCCUGCAUCAGACGGAGCAGCUCCGCAGCGCCACCCGCGCUGGCAGGGCCCCCGGGGCUCGCGGAGGGCGCCGAGCACGCGCCAUGGUGCAGGGCGGAGCCCCGCCGCGGGGAGGAGCCGCGGGUCACGCUGCCCUGUCCCCACGGCGGGGUCACCGGGACCCCCGUCACAGCGGCGCAGAACUCACCCUGCAGUUCGGUUUUCCAUUCCACAAUGAGGGCGGAAGCCCCCGCGUGCUGUGGAACCGGGGCACACAGGCCACUGCAAGGCCGCGGGCUGCAGACACCCGGCGGGAAACCGUCCCCGCUGCGGGCCGCGCCCGGCUCCCUCUUCGCACAGCUGCACAGAGGGGCCGGCGUCAAGCCCGCGGUCCCAAGCAGCUGGCCCGGGCACGAGAGCGAGGCACCUUCCAGAGGCGGGGUUGGAAAAGAAUGUGUGUGCGUGUGAGUGCGCGUGUGCGCGCGUGCGUGUGUGUAACCACGUCCUUUCCCAGUGAGCCUCCCGCGCUUACCCACCCCCACCUGGCACAAGGAGGCCCCUGGGAAACUGCUGAACCACCAAGGCUCCCGAAGGGCCUGGAGACAGGCGUCGGUGGGCUGAGGGAGCACACACGGCAGUGCUCGCCGCCAGUACUUCCCAAGCCUGCAGCUCAGGGCACCUCUGAGGUCUGACAGCCAGCCCCUUCUCUGGCACACACCACCCAGCUCCCUUAAUUACAGCUGUGCCCUGACGCUGCACCGCAGAGGUUUCAUUCUCCUGUGACACAGGAAGGAGCUCAAAUUCUCUCGCCCCUUUAGAAAUCUCAAGCGACCAAAUGAAGUCCUCUUUUGGGAGGGCCUUUAGUGGCGGCCAUGGCUGCCUCAGUGUCCUGAAUGGAUGCAAAACACUGACUUUGCGUGGUCAUUCUGACUUUGGGGAAGAGCCAGAAGUCACACGGCGCCAGACUCAGCACGUAAGGCGGAGAACCCCACACCCUACUGUUGGCACAAGCCCGCCAUUCUGUUGGGGGGCCCUAAGCAGCAGCGUUCACCAUGGUUUUGAUAACACCCCUAACCACACUUAUGAAACUGGACUUCUAGAACUGCUUUGGAAAGUGAGAAAAAGGGAAGGGUAAAUGUGUCUGCAGUGAGGGGGAGUACUCUGGGGAGGACUAAUGGGAAUGUGUCUUUUACUACAUUAAAUAUUUUAAAAAUUUAAAUAUCCACCAUAUCUUUUGACUACCUCCUUUAACUUCCUUGUGUCCUGGGCAUCAGGGUGACCAGGAGGGUCUUGAACUUGUCAUCCUUUGGGAGCAAGGCCUCUCCUACUUUGUUUGUCUCCCUACCCCCAAAUAGGCUUCUUCCCCGGCAGAGUGAUUCUGCUUGGCUAGGGCAGACCGUACAAUCCUGAGUCAACACUGGAAAGUACUGUAAAGGAAGGGUCUCUCUGUAGUGCUGUCCUGGAAGUGGUCAUCUAGCUGUUCUGGAACACGUCCAGUGAGAUGAGCUCACUGUUUCUCCGGGGCUCAUUCGAUUUUUGACUGACAAACGCUUUUCUUUAUACGUUCGGAAACUUCCCCUGAAAUUUGGGUGAACUAGUCCUGCUGGCCCCCCGGAACCACACAGAACACGGCAGUCCCUCCGAGGGAGGCCUUGUCACAGCCACCCUCCCACCCCUGCUCCUGCCCCGCUCCUCACACUGCCCGGACAGGGGCAGCCUUGGGUAUCGAAAGGAACUUCAAGCGCUAACAAGACGCCUACGACAGGGACAUCACCUGAGCAUGUAUGUCUUCUGUGCCAGGCACAUGGAGUAAGUGUCCAACCCUCACCGCAACCCGGGAGGGAGACUACGUCCUCAAUCCCCAUUCACAGAUGAGGACACUGGAGUAGAGGUGAGGGGUAACUCGCCCACGGUCACAGAGCUCAGCUGCAAAGCCAGAACGCAGCUGAGCCAGAAGAACGUGCAGGGAGGCCGCCCGGAGCAGGGCGGAAAGCCAGGGCUUUCAGCGUCAGACCCACACACUCGGAGCUGCACGGUCUGGCACCUGGCACUCGGCACUCGGCAGCUCUGCUUUCUUACGUCUAGGGCAUAAAGCGGAAGGCUGCGGUAUGCUCCUAGUCUUUGUUCCUUUCAGGAGUUUCCCACUCUGUCUUCUCUUGGAGGCCCUGGCACAGUUCUAGGGGAUCACAACUUUGCCUCCAAACAGGGAGCGGAGUACGAUCUGAUUGCCUCCAGCUACACAAGUGAUGAGCAAAAAUACGAUACAGGGAGUAUCACCGCGUACACCUCUCUCCCCUGGAGGAAGCCAAGACCAGCACCCGUGCCGAGGUCAGAGGGCACACGCACAGAUGUCGGGACCGAGCCCCCCACCGCACACCCACGCAGGCCGUGGCUGUGCUCAGAUGUGGCCAGGGGGCCCUGCGGGGUGGUGUGCCUCUGUCCUCAGUGGUCCAGGUGGAGUUACAUCGCAUGAUUAUCCGCUAAGGAUCUGCCACCCCAGUUCAAUUCCUCAGCUCACGAGAACGAGCAAGGGACAGAACCCUUUCUGAAAAGCCCAGGUCCAGAACGCUGUCGUUCCCUUUGCAUUCUGUGGCUUAUUAUUUGGGCACCGUUUUCUAGGGGGUCAUGAAAUAAUUUAUAAGCAACAUUCAAGGGAUAAAGAAAGCUUGAACAUCUCAAGCCAGUGUUAAAAAAAAUUUUUUUUCAGAGCUGUUGGGGUUGGAACUCAGGGCCUUUCACACGCUGGAAAAGACAAGAACGUGAGUUCUGCUCCUGGCCCUGCAGAAAGGAGCCCGGCCCUGCAGCCUUUGGACCUCAGCCUGAUGAGCGCUUCGUGGACUUCUGACCUCCAGAACUGUCAGGCGACACAUUUGCGCGGUUAUUCCCCAGUGUGUGUUAGCUUAGGUCACGAAAU
Molecule: long non-coding RNA, 3173 nt
Organism: Chinchilla lanigera (long-tailed chinchilla)
Lineage: Eukaryota; Metazoa; Chordata; Mammalia; Rodentia; Chinchillidae
Source: Ensembl